Long non-coding RNA from Clupea harengus (Atlantic herring), 1264 nucleotides. The record is from Ensembl. NCBI's taxonomy places the organism in Eukaryota, Metazoa, Chordata, Actinopteri, Clupeiformes, Clupeidae.
CAAGUGUGUGUGUGUGUGUGUGUGUGUGUGUGUGUGUGUGUGUGUGUGUGUGUGUGUGUGUGUGUGUGUGUGUGUGUGUGUGUGUGUGUGUGUGUGUGUGUGUGUGUGUGUGUGUGUGUGUGUGUGUUUGUUUGUGUGUGUGUGCGAAAAGGCACAAGAGUGAGGCCAUUAGGGGAAGAAACUAUGGGGGAUGUAAUGUGCCUUAUAAAGUUAUGAGUGUGUAUCUGUGCAGAGUGUGUAUCUGUGCAGCGUGUGUGUGUGUGUGUGCGCAGGGUGCUUGUGGAGUGUUCAUGUUGUCUAUGGGUUAAUGGUGGAACUUCAAUCUGAAGAAUAGGUCAGAUUCACUUUGACAGAGUAAUUGAUUUGUGUGUUGCUGUCUACUAAUCCAGAAGCACAGAUAAAGAUUACACAGGCAGUAAGAGAUAACACUACAUCACAACAUCAGACUGCAUCACUUAUCAAUGCCAUUGGAGCGCUGCUUAGCCUCUCUGCUAUGAAGAAGAGCUCUUUAAAAAUGUCACCGUGCACAAAUUGGCUGUCUUCCUGCAAAACUGCGUGUGAAUUGUUAAUGAACUGCUGAUUUUGUGCUUUGGACUGGGCUCUGACGGUUUUAUAUGCAUAGCUAUCGGGUGUUAAUUGAGGUGUAUGGUAUGUGAAAUAAAACACUUUUGUUUUGUAUUUGUUUCUUUCUGACAGUGUGUCUUUUAGAAAAGGUACAGCCAAUUAACAUUUAAAUCAUUGCUCAAUAGAUACAAGAUACAUAUAGUCUAUAUACACCAUAUACAAAGAAAUACAGUGUUUUAGAGCAGUAACAAAGAGGUGAAGAAACAACCAGCUAGCCCUAGCUAACCCUAACCCUAGAUAAAGAUCACACAGGCAAUACAAGCUAACACUACAUCAGACUACAUCACUGAUCAAUGCCAGUAGCAGAAGGGUAAAGAAACACCCAGCUAGCCAUCACCAGAGACAGAUGAAGAUUACACAGGAAAUAAGAGAUAACAUUACAUCACCAGAGACCGGUGGUGGCGGGUGUGAGUGUAUUUCAAAUUGAACGGUAAUAUGCAUGUAACGCUUGGCUGUAGGUUACUUAAUAACUCGGUAAGGCUAAACUCAGCAGACGUGUAGGAGCAGGAGUGACCAUUUAUAACUUGACCACUAGGGGGAGCCAAUGUGUCUGGUUCCUUAUUGAAUCUAUGCUAUAUAAUUUGUUUGUGUUAGACACAUAAUGAACGUACAGUAGCCUAUAGCAACCCAGAUAGAGAAC